GCCGGGAUAGCUCAGCUGGGAGAGCAACAGACUGAAGCCCCAAAAUAAAUGGUAUUCUGGAGGUCCCGUGUUCAAUCCACGGUCCUGGCA
Molecule: non-coding RNA, 90 nt
Organism: Lactifluus subvellereus
Lineage: Eukaryota; Fungi; Basidiomycota; Agaricomycetes; Russulales; Russulaceae
Source: the annotation of a GenBank genome assembly